AGAUCUUUACUGCAUGGACGAGAGCAGGCUGGAGUCAUGGAUCAGGGAGAGAUGGAAGAAGAUUUGACAACCAUUCAUGGUCACCGUGACAGCCCUUUCAAUUCUUCAGGAAAUGGACCAGAGCUCUUCUGACUCUACAGUGAUCCUUGAACUAAGUUCCGUCCCUGAAAAGGAGGACAUAAGUGUUCCUGAACUCAAGAGAGCAGAAAGUGUAUUUGUAAGUUCACAUACAAUCCAAUGCACAACUUGGUCUGACAAUAACAGUAGUGGGGGAAAUUGUCUUGGUUUUAACCUGUUAAGUCCGACGGACCUGGUACCGGUUCCACAGCACUAAGUGGUCGCAGCUAUUGUAAAUUUGCGCUUGUUUAAAACUCUAGGUUAAUCACAGCCUCAUUGAACUUUAAGACCCAACAUCUUAAACUCUAGACCAA
Molecule: long non-coding RNA, 431 nt
Organism: Perca flavescens (yellow perch)
Lineage: Eukaryota; Metazoa; Chordata; Actinopteri; Perciformes; Percidae
Exons: 3
Source: RefSeq, a predicted model, not a curated record